Long non-coding RNA from Cyprinus carpio carpio, 519 nucleotides. The record is from Ensembl. Lineage: Eukaryota; Metazoa; Chordata; Actinopteri; Cypriniformes; Cyprinidae.
CAGCAUGGAUAGGACAGGUGCACGAUUAGGCCGGCGAGCGGCGGCGACACGCUGGCUGGCUGACUGUGCGUGAGCGUGGCGUUUCUGUUGAGUGUAAGCUGCGUGGUGUUUGCGUAGCGUUUUCCAUGUCUUUGCCUGGUCUUUGCACACCAGAAACGUGUCUGACGCGGCGCUGCUGCUAGACUCUCAAAUAUCAGAGAGAGGAGGAGAAGAGAGGAAUAGGAGCAGGAGAGAGGAGGAGGAGAAGAGCAGGAAACAGACAGCUGUACAAUCAGUAAGCAGAGACAGGGUCCAGCAGAGGCAGGGUCCAGCACAGGGGAAGCUGAGGCAGGGAGAGUUGAAAGUGAGUACACACACACACACACACACACACACAAUCUCUAUUGUAUGGGACUGCAUUGUAGUUUUUGAGUAUGAGUGGGUGUGAGUAUUUGUAACUAUUUUAUCACUCCGACUGACUGUACACAUGACAUGCUGGUAGUUCGCAGUAUACUGUGUGACUUAUGUGUUUGAGAUUAG